CCGGAAUCGCUAGUAAUCGCGGAUCAGAAUGCCGCGGUGAAUACGUUCCCGGGUCUUGUACACACCGCCCGUCACACCAUGGGAGUCGGAAAUGCCCGAAGUCUGUGACCCAACCGUAAGGAGGGAGCAGCCGAAGGCAGGUCGGAUGACUGGGGUGAAGUCGUAACAAGGUACC
RNAcentral lists this ribosomal RNA (175 nucleotides) under uncultured bacterium. Its description in RNAcentral is "partial 16S ribosomal RNA". It matches the Rfam family "Bacterial small subunit ribosomal RNA", at positions 1326 to 1500 of the family's 1533-position model. The record is from RNAcentral.